Molecule: ribosomal RNA, 266 nt
Filed under: uncultured Staphylococcus sp.
Lineage: Bacteria; Bacillati; Bacillota; Bacilli; Caryophanales; Staphylococcaceae
Description: partial 16S ribosomal RNA
Rfam family: Bacterial small subunit ribosomal RNA
Source: RNAcentral
CGGCGGACGGGUGAGUAACACGUGGAUAACCUACCUAUAAGACUGGGAUAACUUCGGGAAACCGGAGCUAAUACCGGAUAAUAUAUUGAACCGCAUGGUUCAAUAGUGAAAGACGGUUUUGCUGUCACUUAUAGAUGGAUCCGCGCUGCAUUAGCUAGUUGGUAAGGUAACGGCUUACCAAGGCAACGAUGCGUAGCCGACCUGAGAGGGUGAUCGGCCACACUGGAACUUAGACACGGUCCAGACUCCUACGGGAGGCAGCAGUC